GCCAGCAGCUACAGCUCUGAUUCAACCCCUAGCCUGGGAACUUCCACAUGCCAUGGGCAUUGCCCUAAAAAGACACAAAAACAAAACAAAAAAAAAAAGGCAAAAACUGAAAAACCCAAAUGUCUAUGAAUAGGAGGAUGACAACACAAUGUGAUAGGAGACUGGAGGACAGACACCAAAAUGCUGACCUGAUUAACUCUGAAGAGGCAGGUAGGACUAGUGAGUGUGGGCAAUAAAAUUCUGUAACACUGGAGUCUUUUCAACGACAACUUAAUCAUACAACUAAGACAUGAACACAAACCAAAAAUAUAAAUGUGCUAACAGAUUCCAGAUCCGGUAUCUUAAAAAAAAAAUCAACAAUUUUUUAGCAACACCAAUAACAGCGGAUGAAACAUACACUCUCUCAACAUGACUAUUACGAAAAGAAUGCUUUCACUGAAAUGUAUAGAAUAAUAUUUUUGUCAGGUUUUUAAAAAAAUAUCCAAUUACAUUUUUCUAUUUGCAACCAUUAGUGUUCCAGAGCUGUGUUCCAUGGGGAAACUGGGCCCCUCAUUACCACUGCUGUCAACAGCCCUUUAAAGACGGCAAUUCCUUAGCCAAGGCAAAGAACUACAAGUGCAACCCUAGACAGAACUCUAGAUGCAAGCAAAAGCAGAUGAAGCCCCAUUCCUGGACUUAAUUAAUAGCACAAAACCAAAGGAGGAUUUUAAAAUGCCUAUUCCAGGGCUGCUCCAGAGUUCAAAGUCCAAUAAUAGCCUACAACAUCAACUCCUUACUUGAAAGCUUUUUGUAGGACAGUAAAAAGUAUAUUCUAUCAUACAACAAUGUUCUUCUUACUGAAACUAAAGAAUAGUUCUACAACUGGUCAAAGGGGGUUAAAGGAAGGAAAGAAUCAAAAACAAUGAAGUGACUUCUGGCAUAGCCUAAAAAAAAAAAACAGAGUGAAACAAUGGAAAACUUCAACACUAAGAAUUGCUUUCUUGGGAGUUCCCGUCGUGGCGCAAAAUAUAUUUUAUAGACAUAGAGAGGAAAGGGGAGAUCCAUCUAGGAUAGAAUAUAACUAGGAGCCUCAUUCGCAUAUUCAGCUCAGCACAGACACCAUGAGCUGGGGCCCUGACCAAUCAGAGCAGAUGUCAGUCAAACAAGGGCUUGGGGAUGGGGAGUGGUGGGACAAUUAACACCAAGAGAAAACAGGAGACAAAUGUAGGGUUAUUAGGAUGAAUAAAAGUGUUAAAUCUUUAUAAGACUUUCAGCUUGAAAAAAUUUUAAUAAGAUUUAUCUCCUCUGAUCAUCACCUACCUCUGGAAGCUGGACAUUACAAUAUUCCUACGUUGAAGAAAAGGAAACCAGGACAAAUGAAGGGACUCAGCCCAGGGCACUCAGUCAGCAAAGGGAGCGAACUAUGAAGCCCAUCUCUUGACCACAGGCAGCCACGUAUUAGAUUAGAAAGUGCUUUAUAUGUCAAGAUGUUAGACUUUAUUUUAUAGGAAAUGAGUUUUCAACCAAGGAUACAACAUAAAGACUUUUAGGACAUUUCCUUAUGGUGCAGCAGGUUAAGGAUCCGACGUUGUCACUGCUGAGGCUCUGGUUACCGCUGUGGCAUGGGUUCCACCCCUAGCCUGGGAACUUCUGCAUGCCAUUGGUACAGCCAAAAAAAAAAAAACCCCAAUGUUCAUCUGGGAGACAAGAGAAUUUGAUGAACUAAGGAAUGACUGAAGAGGAAAGAAAGAGUCUUAGAAGACUACUGAAAGAGUGACUACUGAAAAAUGACAAGGCGUGAGAAGGACGGUAAUGGGACCUGUAUGUGCCUGUGAUAUUAUGAUAUAAAAAACAGAUCUAUUUGGUCUUUGUUCUUGCUCCUGGCAGAGAGCUUCCAGGACCUUUGGAGUUUCCAAAGUGACAGAGGUAACAAAAGUGUCUUUUGAUAUCCAAAGCUAACCCCUUUCAACCAUUCCUGAAUUUACCCUAAAGGUAGGGGCUGGAACCAACCCUGUGAUUAGAAGGUUGAAACUUUCAGCUCCACCUCACCCUCCUCACUCCCAAUUCAUCCCCUCCCCCUAAGGAAGACAGGGGGACUGGUUAAUGAUGGUCCCCAUUAACGGUGACCAAUGAUUUCAUGAAUCAUGCCUACAUAAUAAAACCUCCAUUAAAAACCCUAAAUGGAAGUCCCCAUUUGUGGCUAAGCAGAAAUGAACCUGACUAGUAUCCAUGAGAAUGCAAGUUUGAUCCCU
This 2231-nucleotide long non-coding RNA is filed under the name Sus scrofa (pig). Its description in RNAcentral is "lncRNA (ENSSSCG00015021089.1)". The record is from RNAcentral. Lineage: Eukaryota; Metazoa; Chordata; Mammalia; Artiodactyla; Suidae.